UACGUAGGUGGCAAGCGUUGUCCGGAUUUACUGGGCGUAAAGCGUGCGCAGGCGGUUCUCCAAGUCCGUUGUGAAAGCCCCGGGCUCAACCUGGGAAUGGCAGUGGAAACUAGGGGACUGGAAUCUGGCAGAGGGGGGUGGAAUGCCGCGUGUAGCAGUGAAAUGCGUAGAGAUGCGGCGGAACACCGAUGGCGAAGGCAGCCCCCUGGGCUGAGAUUGACGCUCAGGCACGAAAGCGUGGGGAGCGAACAGG
Molecule: ribosomal RNA, 253 nt
Filed under: uncultured bacterium
Lineage: Bacteria
Description: partial 16S ribosomal RNA
Rfam family: Bacterial small subunit ribosomal RNA
Source: RNAcentral